RNAcentral lists this ribosomal RNA (848 nucleotides) under Pseudomonas aeruginosa. RNAcentral describes it as "bacterial SSU rRNA". It matches the Rfam family "Bacterial small subunit ribosomal RNA", at positions 109 to 953 of the family's 1533-position model. Lineage: Bacteria; Pseudomonadati; Pseudomonadota; Gammaproteobacteria; Pseudomonadales; Pseudomonadaceae. The record is from RNAcentral.
AGUAAUGCCUAGGAAUCUGCCUGGUAGUGGGGGAUAACGUCCGGAAACGGGCGCUAAUACCGCAUACGUCCUGAGGGAGAAAGUGGGGGAUCUUCGGACCUCACGCUAUCAGAUGAGCCUAGGUCGGAUUAGCUAGUUGGUGGGGUAAAGGCCUACCAAGGCGACGAUCCGUAACUGGUCUGAGAGGAUGAUCAGUCACACUGGAACUGAGACACGGUCCAGACUCCUACGGGAGGCAGCAGUGGGGAAUAUUGGACAAUGGGCGAAAGCCUGAUCCAGCCAUGCCGCGUGUGUGAAGAAGGUCUUCGGAUUGUAAAGCACUUUAAGUUGGGAGGAAGGGCAGUAAGUUAAUACCUUGCUGUUUUGACGUUACCAACAGAAUAAGCACCGGCUAACUUCGUGCCAGCAGCCGCGGUAAUACGAAGGGUGCAAGCGUUAAUCGGAAUUACUGGGCGUAAAGCGCGCGUAGGUGGUUCAGCAAGUUGGAUGUGAAAUCCCCGGGCUCAACCUGGGAACUGCAUCCAAAACUACUGAGCUAGAGUACGGUAGAGGGUGGUGGAAUUUCCUGUGUAGCGGUGAAAUGCGUAGAUAUAGGAAGGAACACCAGUGGCGAAGGCGACCACCUGGACUGAUACUGACACUGAGGUGCGAAAGCGUGGGGAGCAAACAGGAUUAGAUACCCUGGUAGUCCACGCCGUAAACGAUGUCGACUAGCCGUUGGGAUCCUUGAGAUCUUAGUGGCGCAGCUAACGCGAUAAGUCGACCGCCUGGGGAGUACGGCCGCAAGGUUAAAACUCAAAUGAAUUGACGGGGGCCCGCACAAGCGGUGGAGCAUGUGGUUUAAUUCG